This 611-nucleotide ribosomal RNA is filed under the name uncultured bacterium. RNAcentral's name for it is "bacterial SSU rRNA". The stretch from base 1 to 518 matches the Rfam family "Bacterial small subunit ribosomal RNA", at positions 338 to 873 of the family's 1533-position model. The record is from RNAcentral.
CCUACGGGAGGCAGCAGUGGGGAAUCUUGCGCAAUGGGCGAAAGCCUGACGCAGCCAUGCCGCGUGAAUGAUGAAGGUCUUAGGAUUGUAAAAUUCUUUCACCGAGGACGAUAAUGACGGUACUCGGAGAAGAAGCCCCGGCUAACUUCGUGCCAGCAGCCGCGGUAAUACGAAGGGGGCUAGCGUUGCUCGGAAUUACUGGGCGUAAAGGGAGCGUAGGCGGAUAGUUUAGUCAGAGGUGAAAGCCCAGGGCUCAACCUUGGAAUUGCCUUUGAUACUGGCUAUCUUGAGUACGGAAGAGGUAUGUGGAACUCCGAGUGUAGAGGUGAAAUUCGUAGAUAUUCGGAAGAACACCAGUGGCGAAGGCGACAUACUGGUCCGUUACUGACGCUGAGGCUCGAAAGCGUGGGGAGCAAACAGGAUUAGAUACCCUGGUAGUCCACGCUGUAAACGAUGAGUGNUAGUGUCGUCGAUGCAUGCAUGUCGGUGCGCGAGCUACGACAUAAGUACACUCCGCCGUCGGGUAGGUACGGUCGGCGAGAAGUAAACUAACAACUAGAAGUUAGUACGGCGUGAGACGUGCCGACGGACGACGACGACGGGAGGUUAGG